Molecule: ribosomal RNA, 493 nt
Filed under: uncultured bacterium
Lineage: Bacteria
Description: partial 16S ribosomal RNA
Rfam family: Bacterial small subunit ribosomal RNA
Source: RNAcentral
GACGAACGCUGGCGGCGUGCUUAACACAUGCAAGUCGAACGGAAAGGCCUGCUUUCCCUUGUGGAUUGCGGGUACUCGAGUGGCGAACGGGUGAGUAACACGUGAGUGAUCUGCCCCCAACUUGGGUAUAAGCCUGGGAAACUGGGUCUAAUUCCCGAUAGGACUGCAGGGUGGUGCCUGUGGUGGAAAACGAUUUUCUAGUGGUUGGGGAUGAGCUCGCGGCCUAUCAGCUUGUUGGUGGGGUAAUGGCCUACCAAGGCGGCGACGGGUAGCCGGCCUGAGAGGGUGGACGGCCACAUUGGGACUGAGAUACGGCCCAGACUCCGACGGGAGGCAGCAGUGGGGAAUAUUGCACAAUGGGCGGAAGCCUGAUGCAGCGACGCCGCGUGGGGGAUGACGGCCUUCGGGUUGUAAACUCCUUUCGACCGCGAGGAAGCCACCUGGUUGGAAGGGUGGUGACGGUAGUGGUAGAAGAAGCACCGGCUAACUACGU